Molecule: ribosomal RNA, 491 nt
Filed under: uncultured bacterium
Lineage: Bacteria
Description: partial 16S ribosomal RNA
Rfam family: Bacterial small subunit ribosomal RNA
Source: RNAcentral
AGUGAACGCUGGCGGUAGGCCUAACACAUGCAAGUCGAACGGCAGCACAGUAAGAGCUUGCUCUUACGGGUGGCGAGUGGCGGACGGGUGAGGAAUACAUCGGAAUCUACUUUUUCGUGGGGGAUAACGUAGGGAAACUUACGCUAAUACCGCAUACGACCUACGGGUGAAAGCAGGGGAUCUUCGGACCUUGCGCGAUUGAAUGAGCCGAUGUCGGAUUAGCUAGUUGGCGGGGUAAAGGCCCACCAAGGCGACGAUCCGUAGCUGGUCUGAGAGGAUGAUCAGCCACACUGGAACUGAGACACGGUCCAGACUCCUACGGGUGGCAGCAGGGGGGAAUAUUGGACAAUGGGCGCAAGCCUGAUCCAGCCAUACCGCGUGGGUGAAGAAGGCCUUCGGGUUGUAAAGCCCUUUUGUUGGGAAAGAAAAGCAGCAGGUUAAUACCCCGCUGUUCUGACGGUACCCAAAGAAUAAGCACCGGCUAACUUCGU